AUGGAUGUACCAAGUGUUAUCACGUCAAGUUUCUCUAUUUGCAUCAGUCAUGUGCCUCUGCAGACAAUACAUCAUACAGUAUCAAAGAAUAAAGCUGUCACACCAGAAAUCAGGAAGAAAUUGUAUCAAGACACCUCAAGUACAAAACAGAACAAGCUCUCUGAAGGUGAGGGGAACAUUUCGUACAUUUCCUCAAGACCUGGCUGCACCUACCAUUAGGCAGGAUGAGGUGACCAUUUCAUUCAGCAGAUGAUGAGAGAUCAUUUCAGCAGAAAAGAAGUUGGCAAAACUAUAGGAUGAAGAAACAAGUCAGAGUCAACUUCCUCCUCCGUGUGUGGCCAGUUGACAGAAUGAAGUGGCAAUGGAAAGUAUCUCACAUGAUCUAUCACCACUUAAACUCACGAAGGAAGUGAUGACGAACUCCUGAUCCCUUGGUUUGCUUUGCCUGAUCCACCUCAAAAGGCUGACCUUAUGAUAAACAAGAGAGCAUCCUGCCUUGAAUUCAUUAGAUGAAAGGCACACUAUAAACAAAGAAACAAACAAGCAAUGGCUGAAACCCUUUUACCUAUUUAGUGUAGCACCAAUGUUCUAACAUUUGGACAGGAAUGGGAACUCAAGUUGUGAGACUCGUUGUCAAGUCAAACUUAAAUUACACUUA
Molecule: non-coding RNA, 658 nt
Organism: Pogona vitticeps (central bearded dragon)
Lineage: Eukaryota; Metazoa; Chordata; Lepidosauria; Squamata; Agamidae
Source: RefSeq, a predicted model, not a curated record